AUCAAUGUCAUUGCCAGGUUGUUUUGGACCUUAGAUAAUUAUCGAUAUCAUAAUGAACUUCCGCUUCAUGCACAACCAUGACAGAAGAUUGAACAUACAUAAGGUCAGAGGCCAAGUGCUAUGACCACUACUGAACAUACAUAAAAUCAUCGAGAGGACAUUCUGCCUCGCCCAUCUCUUCUUCAGCAUCGCCCAUUGGAGCAUCUGCAAAGGCACUUCCUUGAAUCCAGUUAGGAAUGUUAUCAUCUUCUUCAUCAUCAUCAUCCAUCAUAAC
Molecule: long non-coding RNA, 274 nt
Filed under: Setaria viridis
Lineage: Eukaryota; Viridiplantae; Streptophyta; Magnoliopsida; Poales; Poaceae
Description: long non-coding RNA (SVIR_LNC004578)
Source: RNAcentral